ACCUACGUCAUAUAUAAUCGAUUGCUGAUAGAAUCAAGAAUACUAGUUAUCUAUCUACCGCUCUACCUUCCAACCAACAUGGCUACUCAGUAUCCAAUCAAUCUCUAUAAGAAUAAACAUCAUCAUUUAGCUGCCCAUCUAUCUGGCAAUGCUGGCUUACUAGAUGACUCCCUGGCUGCCUACCUGUCUAUUUAUCUGCUCAUCUGCUAGAAUAAAUGAUAUCUACCAAUGGUAUAUAUCGAUGAUUGCUGGCGAUGAUAUGUAUUGAUGAUAUUCAGCAAUGAUAUCUGGCGAUGAUAUUAAUAUAAGUUCGCACUUUUGUUCCGUCCUUCCCAGCUGCAUAUUUCAUAAAGUUCCUGUUAUACAGUGUUAUGCCUGAGCUCUCCACCCUUUCAAAGCAAUUAAAAAUGCAUUUCAUCCUCUGGGAC
RNAcentral lists this small RNA (428 nucleotides) under Histoplasma capsulatum var. duboisii H88. RNAcentral's name for it is "Histoplasma capsulatum H88 hypothetical RNA". The record is from RNAcentral. Lineage: Eukaryota; Fungi; Ascomycota; Eurotiomycetes; Onygenales; Ajellomycetaceae.